GAGGGUAUAGCUCAAGUGGUAGAGCAUAUGCUUAGCAUGCAUGAAGCCCUGGGUUCAAUCCCCAGUACCUCUU
Molecule: transfer RNA, 73 nt
Filed under: Camelus bactrianus (Bactrian camel)
Lineage: Eukaryota; Metazoa; Chordata; Mammalia; Artiodactyla; Camelidae
Also listed under: 2 other names
Rfam family: tRNA
About the family: Transfer RNA (tRNA) molecules are approximately 80 nucleotides in length. Their secondary structure includes four short double-helical elements and three loops (D, anti-codon, and T loops).
Source: Rfam by way of RNAcentral